Molecule: long non-coding RNA, 10655 nt
Filed under: Theobroma cacao (cacao)
Lineage: Eukaryota; Viridiplantae; Streptophyta; Magnoliopsida; Malvales; Malvaceae
Description: long non-coding RNA (TCAC_LNC000779)
Source: RNAcentral
CAUGAUCCUACAUUUCAGAAAAUAGGUGUCAAAAACCCAUCACUAGUACCAAAAGUCGGCCAUAUCUCGGAACUGCAAAGUACAAGGCAAGGCUACAAGAUUUUCACGCGUGCUUAUGGUUUCUUCCUGAAGUCCAGCCUCCACGGAGGUGUUCUCACAAAUUUUCUUCCCUAGCCACAUUAAACUCCAAUACAACUUUUCUCGUUUGUAGGGCUGCAGUUUUUCUGCAUCAGAAGCAAAUGUAAGUCAUGGGCUUUCUCAGUCAACCCAACUUCUGUAAAUGCACUCAAAAUCCUAUUACAGGUAGAGAUAUCAAAGUCUGUGGUGUUAGACUGCUUCCAUUGAUCAAUAACCUCUCCCACUUCUUUGGAAUGCCCAAGAAUCAGAUAUGAAGACGAAAUGCAUAUGUAAUUUCUGCUUGUCAUUUUCUGUUUGGUCAUUCUUAGCGAUUUCCACAUCUGAUCAAUUUUAUCUUUGUUUCCCAAGCCAGCAUACAGCAUAACAAGGAAGUCAUAAGUUAUCCAUUCCCUUUGUGUGAUGCCUUUCUCUGUUUCAAUACGAGAGCUGGACUCAGCAUUUGCAAGACGGCUAGCGUUAACAUAAACAGUUAUGAGGCUAAUAUAUCUCACCCAACCAUCAUUGCAACCAGAGUCGCAUCUCAUUUCAUCCAGAAUCCUUUUAACUUGAUCAAUGUUUAGAGCCGCAGCACAUGAACUUAUCCAAAGAUUGUAAGUAAAGAUAUCUGGUGCGACCUUAUGUCUUUUCAGUUCUUCUACGACCAAAGAAACCUUCUGCAGCUGCCCAAUUGACAUGUAAAGAGUCAUAAUCUCAUUGUACGUAAGGGCAGAGAAUGGCAAGGCCAACCCCUUUAUCCUCUCAAAAAGUUCUUCUGCCUUUUCAGUCAAUUUUGCAGCUGCAUAACAAUGGAGAAGAGCAGUGUAUGUUUCACUAGUCUUUGCAGUCGGAGGCAAGUCUUCAAAAUAGCGUUCAGCAGCAUCAAUACCAAAAACUUUUGUCAUCAAGUCAAUACGAAUUGCAUAGUCAGAAUCUGAUAACUUGUACUCUUCAUGAGUAACCAUCCAUUCUGAUAUCUGCAAGCUUGAAUUGAUAAGUUCAAAGAAUUCACCAUCAAUUGUAUCUGUGAAACUAAGGGCUGUACAAACUGUAAGGCAUGAAGUUUUCAUACAGAUGCAACAUGAAACUUUGUUUCUGAUAUUCCUCCCUUUGAAUGCAAAAUAUCAACUAAAAGUUAUUACCAAAAAGACAGAAAAGAAAAGAAACUACCCAGCUGUUCCAAGUGCAACUCAAGCUAUAAUGAAAUUCAAAGAAAACAGGAAAAAGAGAUUGAGUUUGCCUAGGCACAUGAAGAUGUAGGACCUUUUUAUUUCACACUCCCAAAGAAGUCUUGCUAAUCAUAAUGCAAAUUAUAAAAUUCCCAUCAUGAUCAACUUUCAAUUUACGUCCUCUUAUAACAGAAAAAACAGCAGAAGCAACAAAGUGUGAUAUGAUAUUAAUCAAUUUAACUUAGUUGGAGCUGAAGGUGGGAGUGAAAUGCAAGUUCUCCCAUUACAUUAGAUCAGAGAAAGUGACCAAGUGCAAAACAAAAUAGGUAAAUAGAGACUUCACAAGCAAGCCUGCAAAUAGAGAAGACAAAAUCUUAAUACCUAGAGAAGACAGCAUUCACUUAUUCAUUGCUGACAUGACAAGAAACUCCAGUGCUGUGGUAUGGCCAAACACCCAAGCUAGCCAAAUGGCGAACUUAAUGAGUUGAUUUGAUCUUACACAGUAAAAGAUUAACCGAAUAUACAUUAAGAAAUUCUCUCUUCCGUUUUGUGUUUAUCCACAGAUACAAAAUUUUCAUGUUCCUUAUAUCAAUUCCUUUCUACAUUAGACCAUUCCCUACUUGAUAACAUUCCUAACCAAUCCUAUGACCCCAAUUGGCCAAUUCAAACUAAUGGAACCUAAACAAUUUAACUGAUUCUUCAAAUAAAUUACACCAAUCAAGCAUUACACCUCUAAUGAAACAGUUGAUAAAACAAAAAAAUUUCAUCCAGGAAUAUCAAACUAAAUAAGUAUUACUGCCAGUUUUUAAGGUAAAACAAAGCCACCCUAGCACAUAAAAAUCUCAACUUCACUCUAAUUGACUUUAAUUAUUAAAAUAUGGAAAAUAUCUUUGAAAAGAGAGAAGCGAGAGUACCUCGAGAGCGUGCCUGAAACGCUGGGAUUUCCUCAGUUCCUUCGAGAUUUGGCGGAGGUCGGAAAUGGAAACUCGGUUGCCCUCACCGACCCAUUUCUCGAUUACGGUAGUGGCGCUCCGCUUCGGAAGACGCAGCCGAAAAAUGCGGCUUUUCAGAUCAUCGGUUUCCGAAUUAUUCAAAUAUUCGUCCACGUAUUCGGUGCUGGCGGCGCCCUUGACAACAGCCUUGACAAACUGCAGUUGCUGCUUCUCCUGCAUAUAUAUAUUUCACAAUUUUGAAAAAUUAAUCUUUGGGAAACAAAAGACCAACCAACUUAAAGAAUGCUACGGAGACUUGUAAUGGGUUCAGUUUAAAAAAUUUCUCCCCUCUUUUUUUUGGUUUAAAUUGAGAAAGUAUGAUAGUAAUAAAGAUAACUACCGUCUGAGACUGAGAAAGAGGGAGCGCAACGCCAUUGAAAUUGAUAGAGCUCUCUCUAUAGCUUGUCAAGUUUUUUUUUUUUUUUUUUUUCUCGAGUAUAGCUUAGCCAAGAUCUUUGGUUAGCUACACUGGCAACUUGGGCUGUGUUUCGUUGGACUUGCCUUUUGGUGCUUAUCUCAUUCCUCAUUUUUGUGUAAUGAAGUGCAAAAAUUUAUAAAUUAUUUAAAAAUAUAAGUAAGUUUUUAUAUUUUUAUUAUAUUUAAUCAAAUUUUUAUAUUUUUAUUUUAAAUCGAAUAAAUUGUUCAAUUUUAACUCAAAAUGUUAUUGUUAUUUUUUAUCGUAUGACAUUAAUAUGGCAUGUUAAUAUAUUAUAAUUGAUAAUUAUGUAGUAUAUUAAUAUAUCAUAACUGAUGAUUACGUGACAUAUUAAUUUGAUAUGAUAACAUUAUCAUUAGAUUUUUUUAACCUUACACAUCAACGUUAUGUCAGUACCGUGUGAAUAUAAAAUGAUCAAUGGUAUUGUUUCCUAUUUAUUUGCAGACAAUUUAGGCAUAUUAUGACCUAGGAUGAUGUAAUAAUUUUAUCUUUUCCUUUAUAUAUAUAUAUAUAUAUAUAUAUAUAUAUAUAUAAAAACUAAUGUUAAUUAAUCAAUCAUUAGUUAUAAAAGUUUAUUUGAUACAAAAUAAAAAUAUAAGAUAUUAACACAAACUUCAAUGAUCUGAACACAGCCAUUAAUAAUGUAAAUUUUUAUUUUAGUUUUUUCCUAUUUUUGUUUGAUAUGUCUUUUUUCCCCUUUAUAACUCAAUUAAAGAUAAGUGUAUAUAUUUUUAACUCAAUUUCCUUUCUAAAAUCUUUUUAUUUGUAAAUUAUAAAAACAACAUACAUAUAUCAAAAUAUUCGAAUAACACUUUAAGAUUUUUUUAUUUAUAACUAUUAUAACCACUUAUCAUACUUUAACAGCAUUCUAACUUAAUCACCCGAAAUUAUUGUUAACUUUCUUCUAACCAAUUUCCGUUACACCAUAGAUUAAUGCUUCCCUGAUUCACAACAAAAGUAAUUAGCAACAAUCUAGUGUUAUAUCAAAUAUCCCAAGCAUUUUAACUUUCAUGUCAUUCCUCUCAAAAUGUGACUUUCAAAGUUAUCAAAAAUCGUAAAAAAUUCAAAAUAUACAUAGGACAUUGUAAACGGGUUCUUUUGUAAUAAAGAAAGAGGUAGUGUACCAAAUAAGUAAAACAAAUGUGUUGGGAGGUGAUGGGAAAAAAGAUUUAGAGCAAUACUUGAAGCAAUGCAUAUUGUGAUGGAGAGAGAGAUCAUCUCCAUCAUCUGCUUGGUGUUGUCUUUCAAUAUUUGCAUCCUCUCUUGAUAAGCUUAGAGCAUUUUCAUCGAGUCUUGGAAAUAGGUGAGAGUAAAUGCACCUUGGUUGCUAAUGAAAUUUUUUAUAUCUUCUAAUGGUGCAAUGUUUUUUUAAUGAGGUUUUACUUAACAUGGGUGUUCUUUUUUAGUAAAUUUGACAAAAUAUAGAUGAUGUAAUAAAGAGAGAGAUAAUAUUACAAACAAGUAAAAUGAAUGUAUUGAUAAACAUCAGUGAAAAAGAUUGGAGCAGUCUUUUAAUAUAUGAAUGUUGUGUCAAGUGGUGAUGGACAAAGUGUGGAGAAUACGGAGAUCGUGGAACAAGGUGAAGGAUGAAGUAGGGGAAGUCAUAAGUAGAAAAAAAUUUGAGUGAGAGAGAAUAAGCCCAAAGUUCCUUUGGAAUAUAAUUGUCAAAGCUUUAAUAUAUAGACCUAGUAGGACUAGUUACAAAAAAGUGCACUUAAUGCAUGUAUACCUAUCAAAAUGGACCUGAUCCAUUAGACUAGUCCAUUUUUCAUAAAAUAUGAAAUGAGUUGGGCUUAAAAAUUUAGAUUCAUAUUAAAAUUAGACCUAAAUGGGUUAGCCUAUCAAAUCAGAGGGUUGGGGUGGGUUGAGGUGAGCCAGCCCUAUGGGUCAAAAAAAUUAAUAAUUUUAAUUAAUUUAAUAAUUUUAUAUAUUUAAUUAUAUAAAAUUAAUAAUUUAAUUAUCAAUAAUAUUACUUAUUUUAUAUAUUUUAAUGUGUUUAAUCUUCACUUAUCAAAUUAAUAAUUUUAAUUUAUGAAUUAAAUUAUAAAAUAAUUUUAUUAAUAAAAAUUUUAUUAAGUGAAAUUAUAAAAAUAAUUUAAAAAAAAAAAUGAGUUGACCCAACCAUUUUAUGGGUUAACAAAAGGUGAAUUGGGUUGAGGUUUUGAUUGUCCAUAUAAAAAAUGGGUUGACUCGACUCAACUCAACUCAUAUUUUCUUAACCCACAAAUAUUUGGGCCGGGCCGGACCAAGUCAGCCCAUAUUGACAGCAGUGAACGCACGUAAUGGGAGAAACACGUUACCUCCAUUAUGUAUAGUGGAGUAAUGAUUUUUUUUUUUUCUAAUAAACGGUUAGCUAAUUAAUGGCAUAUUGAGGAGUUGGUCACUUGCUCUUGAGGGAAGAGGAAAAGAGAAAGACAUUCGUACUGCACGGAAAAAUUAAGAGGAAGAUUUUUUACCUACUUUCACAUUGGAAUUAUAAAAUUAAAUUUUUAAAAAUAUUCAAAAAGUGAAAUUAUUCCGUAAAUCCUAUUACUAGUUUUGAUUACUUUCAUUGUUGUCCAUAGUAAUAUAACUGUUCUACUCAUUCUAAUAGUUCUCAUUCAUUGUUUAUCGUAUAACAGUAUGAUUGUUGAGAUAUAAAUUUUAUAUAAUAUUAUACAAAGAUAAUGAUUUAAUAGCCACAGCAUCUAGAGUUGUGGUUCAGAAGCUUAAACUAUGCUUGAAAUAUGCAAGCAAAGAUACAGACAAGUACUUUCAUUUGAAUUCAAUGAAGUACAUACUAGGCCAUUGCUCUUUCUGAAGCUUGAUUUUUCUUGUUUUUUUGGAGCUCACCAUAGAAGUAAGACAGAGAUCCCCAAAGAGAUAACACAACGGAUAUAGCUUUUUCAACUUGGAACUUUUCAUGGAAGAACAAUACAGCCAAAGAUUCUGUCACCGGAAGCAGAGCUGCAAUUAUUAUGCCAGACAGCAGUGAGGACCCAGAGAAAAUUACUCCGACAGCUCCCAUGAAAAAGAACUGCCAUAAGAUUGCACUCAACAGGAUUACCAGAUAGUAUGUUGAUUGCCCUAGCUCAAAUUUACUUGCCUCUCUUGGAAUUGCCUACAAUGUGCAAGAAGUUGUUAAGAACUAGCAUCCGUGAUAUCAAACUUAACAAGUUUUUAAGGGGAGUCUAGUAGAUUCCCCUGUUUUUGAUAGCAAUACGACAUAACACCACUUUGAAUGGUGCAAAUAUAGGGGAGUGAGUGUGGUGGACUAUUUGAUAGAAGGAAUGAGAUAUGACCUCAAAUUCUUUGUGAAAAAGCAUCCCAAUGGUGCAGAAAACUGUAGCUGAAAAUGACAUAACCAUUUGCAUCUCCAUCACCAAAGAGUAAGUAAUAGUCUGCUUUGCUUUCUUGUAUGUUAACUCAAUCGCCGGUAACACAAAUCCAUAAAGCAUUGAAGCUGCAAGUGUCAUAAAAAAUCCCAAGUAAUAUUGUCGGUUGGAUUCAUUUGCUGGGCGAUCUGAACUUGUAUGAAGUGCAAGAACCACUGCUCCGACAGUCAACAAAAAAACCGAGUUAAUGGUAAAAGAUGUGAACUUCUGCUUGACCAAUAAAAAGGCGAAUGCAGCGGUAAAGGCCAAUUGGGUUGAAAUUAUCAGAGCUGAGGUAGAGACAGGGAGGCGAGCAACACCAUAAGCAUACAAAAAGUCAUCCACGCCAGUAAGAAGGCCUACAACAGCACUAACCAGAAACAAAGGAGGUUUAAUGAAGAAAAGCUCGGUCGCAGGGCCUUCCUUUCUUCGACGAUACAAGUAUGAAAAUGUGAGAGGCAUUACCAUAAAUGGCCAGCCAGCAGUUUCUAAACAGCUUGAUGUCCAAACUCCCUUACCACCUUUCAAGAAGUAGAGCCUCAUUAUAAGGGGGCCACCAACAUUUCCCAAGGCUAACAGUGCGCAAUUCAACACCAGCAAGGAUCUCUUCAAGCCUUUGCUCAUCUUCUCCUCUUUGUAGGGCAUUUGGUCGUUGCUAGUGCGAGUAUCCAUCUUUAGACUAGUGUUUAUGUUCCACAAGAUUUUGCAUAAGAAAGAUUGUGAGAGUUUAAAUCGUUUAUAGCAAGUAAAACAACGUUGAUAUACCAAGACAUGAAGGCAAUUUAUAAAAUAAGUUGUACCAUGAAUUCCCUUUCUCAACUUAGGGAGCGAUUUUAGUAAGCAAGAAUCAAUAUUUAAUCUAUACAUGCAAUCAUUGAUAGAGUUAACUAAAUGAAAUUAUGCUGUAUCCGAAUAUUUAGCUUAUUAAUUGUUGCAUAAAAACCACAAAUUUUUAUGGUGCCCACUGCUCAAUGCAAGAGGAGGACAGAGUCAAAGAAAAUCGGAUGGUGCUCAAGCAACUAUCUCGUAUUCGUACCAAGAAAAUACUGUUUUGGUUGAACAUGACGAGUAAACAUAGUAAUUUUGAUCAUGAAAAUCAGGACAAUUCAAAAAGAAAGAUCAAAAUGGCAUUAUUGUGCAACGGACGAACAAAAUGACCUUAGCUCCUUGAAAUCUGAAGCAAUGAAGAGCCUGACACGUCCGUGCUCACUGCUGAGCAUUGAACAGUCACCGGCAACGUGGACAAAAUAUUCCCGUCAUAAAACACUAUCCGCUGGGCAGCUGGCAACGCAAGCUUGGAUCAAUUCUGGCCUUGCUCUGUGAAGUGUCCCAACCUAUUCCUACUGCUCACGAUAGAAUGGACCUAGCCCAAAAGAUUCCUUAGCAUAAAAUAGAUUGGCAAAUUUUGAUUCUUAUUUUCAUUUUAUUCCAUAAAAUUCCAAUACAACAGUUGCACUUAAAUCGCUUGAAUUUGACUUAUAUAUAUGAGUUAUUAUUUUUUACAUAAAAAGAGAAGUAUACAAAUUUCACAAACUAGUUGUUUAUUCUUGUCACAUGUUUAUACUAAAAAAAGUACCUUAGCUAAAGAAGUUUUAUACUAAAAGAAAAGUGUACAGAGUGUGGUAAUUAAACUGUUCUGUCUUGUAUACGUUCCAAGCAAGAUUUCCCGUCAAGCUUGCUGCUCUGCUGAAGCUCCAAAUAAUCCUUAUAUUUCAUUGCUUUGUAUGCUGGUGGAUUGUUCUCAUGGUCCAGCAACUUCGAAGCUGGGGCAACAACUGCAUUGAGUGCUGGUCCAUGCGGCAUGGCUAUGGAUAUCCUUGUAUCUUUGUUGUUCACCACUGCUCGAUGUAGAACACUUUUGUACUUCCCAUUACUCAAAAUCUUGCGAAAAGUUAAUAUCAUAUUCGAAUAAGAACAAAAUAAACUAUUUCUAAGAAGAGGCAAAAACAAAACAAAAUGGGGAUGAGAACUUAGGACUUUAGGAGUGCACCUCAAUAUGAUCUCCAACGUUAGCUAGAAAUGAAUUGGGAAUUGGAUUGACAUUCAUCCAUUUCCCUUUGUGCUGCACUUGAAGGCCCCUGAUUUCAUUUUGUAUUAGAAGGGUCAAAAGACCGUGAUCCGAAUGAGGAGGCAACCCCAAUGCGAGCUCUGGCUGCGGACAUGGUGGGUAGAAGUUGGCUGUUAGGACUUGCAAGCCAUCUUCCAAAUUCAAGGCCUCGUCAAUAUAAUUCUCCUCUAAUCCCAAACUCUCGGAUAUUCCUCUUACUAUUAUUCUUGCUACUUGCCGGACUCUUUUGCUGAAUUCUAAAGCAAUUUCACUGUUUCCAAAAACAUUCAGACAAAACUUGUUUUAGCUAAGCUAUUGCAGCUGCAACGGCUAAGGAAACAGCACGAGCAUGAUUCCAAUUAUUUGAAAUGAGAUUCCAAAACAAUCCAUCAAUUCACGCAUCAGAAAGGAAAAUAAAAGGAUCAAAUAAAAAGUACUAAAAGAAUCCAGGGUAACAAAAUAAUAGUAGUCUAGAUGACCCACAGGGUUAUAUAGACAAGAUUACUAUUGUUUUGUUACCCAAUUGGCCGAUUCCUUGAAUUCCGUCUUCUGUGCAUACUCUAAUCCUAGGACUCAUUCUGAACCCUGUAUUAUCUGUAAGUUACCAAGCUAAUUGAGUUCAAAACCUGAAGGCAGCUGGCUUGUUGGGUGAGUGAAACUCAGGAUGCUGAAAGACCUUGAGAAAAUCCCUCCAGAAUAAAACUUUAUCCACUGAAACGUUGAAACUGGUACCACACCUAAUGGGGUCCAGCACAUGCUUCCCUUCAAAUUCUUGCUUCUCUUCCUCCGUUAGCUCAAAAAAUCCUCUACACGCCUCAAUUAUUGCCUUCAUCAUGCUCUCCGGCACCCCAUGAUUUAUCACCUGAGAUGCUCAAAGCUUAAAACUAAAACCAAAAAGAAAAAAAACAAAACAAAGCGCACUGAACAAAAGAUAAAAAAGGAGAGAAGAACUAGUGUACUAUAAUAUAUAUAUAUAUAUACCCACCAUGAAGAAGCCCCAGUCCUGACAAGCUUCUCCAAGCUCUUGGAGGACUUUAGAGCGUUCAUCAGGGUUAUUGGAAGUGAGAUGAGAGAAAUCAACGGUGGGGAUAGAUUCUUUUGCGUCUGAAAAUGGUUGAUCAUUAGCGUUUGUUGGGAACGUGUAAAUGGGAGGCAUGGAAGUAAGACCAGGCAAUUCAGCUAGUGAUUUGAUACUUGUUCGCUUUGGCAGUGCGUAAGUAAGAGAUGCUUGCGAGGGUAGGGAAAGGAACGGGGCACUAGCAGCCAUGGAGACCGACGGAGAUUGAGACUCCGAACACGGUGCUUGUAGGCGGAUUGCAAUGGAACAGGUCCGGAUACUUAUGUAUAUGUAUUUAUCUUUAAUUUUUGGCUGCUGCGAAAGCAAGAAAUCAUUAUUUUUUCAUUAUUUAUAUUUUAAUUUUCGAAAAUAAAUAAUAUGUUUCGGUAUAAAAAUUAUAUGGUUUUACUGCCAAAAUUGGUACUAUUAUAUUUUGAUAAUUUGAUCAAUUUUGAUUUUAUUUUUGUCAGUGACAUUUACUUUAUAAAAAUUUUUAAAGAAUAAAAAUUAAAUAAAAAAGUAAAAAUAAAGGAAAUUGGGCAAAAAAAAAAAAAAUCGAAGGAAGUUGCCUGACCUUAUAUGGUAUAUCAUUGCAGAAUCAUGGCAACAAGCUAAUAUUUUGAGCAUGGAAGCAGUCGCACCUUCAUGGGUUUUAUUCGAAAUCCGAGAGUGGCACAAACAUAUUCCAAGAUUUGUUAUGUACACACUAUGAAUAUCUGAUUAAAAAAAGAGACUUAAAAAAUUGAGAAACAUCUUCCUGUCCAUCAAGCAUUAAUAUUUUUCAAGGUCUUUUGUCUUCUUCUUUUCCCAUUUUGUGUGGCACCGCCACUCCUCAUUUGGUCUUUAUUUCUCUUUUGCGUUUCUUUACCCUUUUUUUUUUUUCACCUCAAGAGAACGGAAGAAAGAAAAGUCCCAAGUCCUGUUGACAGGAAAGCAUACGUGCUUUUGCAUCUCCUACUUCCUUGAUCUACGAACCCUUCGACCUUGUGGCAAGCGCUUAGGUAUGAAGGGAUAAAAAUGAAAACGCCACUUGGCUCUGCAAAGACGUGUGCAUUACAUACUGAUCAAAACAAACAGCAGCUAUAAAACUCCUGUGUUCGUUUCUUCAUUCAUCAGUUACCGUGAAAGUAUGCAAGUUCACCUGAUUUUAUAUUACGAAAGAGGCAAAUAGUUUAAAUUUUAAGAAUGCAUGGAUCCUACAUUUCAGAAAAUGGGUGUCAAAAACCCAUCACCAGUACCCAAAGUCGGCCAUAUCUCGGAACUGCAAAGUACAAGGCAAGGCUACAAGAUUUUCACGCGUGCUUAUGGUUUCUUCCUGAAUUCCAGCCUCCACGGAGGUGUUCUCACAAAUUUUCUUCCCUAGCCACAUUAAACUCCAAUAUAACUUUUCUCGUUUGUAGGGCUGCAGUUUUUCUGAAUCAGAAGCAAAUGUAAGUCAUGGGCUUUCUCAGUCAACCCAACUUCUGUAAAUGCACUCAAAAUCCUAU